This 468-nucleotide ribosomal RNA is filed under the name uncultured bacterium. Its description in RNAcentral is "partial 16S ribosomal RNA". It matches the Rfam family "Bacterial small subunit ribosomal RNA", at positions 28 to 507 of the family's 1533-position model. The record is from RNAcentral.
GACGAACGCUGGCGGCGUGCUUAACACAUGCAAGUCGAACGGAAAGGCCCUGCUUUUGUGGGGUGCUCGAGUGGCGAACGGGUGAGUAACACGUGAGUAACCUGCCCUUGACUUUGGGAUAACUUCAGGAAACUGGGGCUAAUACCGGAUAGGAGCUCCUGCUGCAUGGUGGGGGUUGGAAAGUUUCGGCGGUUGGGGAUGGACUCGCGGCUUAUCAGCUUGUUGGUGGGGUAGUGGCUUACCAAGGCUUUGACGGGUAGCCGGCCUGAGAGGGUGACCGGCGACCAUGGGCCUGAGGUAGGCACCAGUCGCCAACGGGAGGCAGCAGUGGGAAAUAUUACACAGUGAUCCCAAGCCUGAUGCAGAAACGCCGGGUUCGGGAUGACGGCUUUUUGGUUGUGAACAGCUUUCGCCUGAGACGAAGCGGGAGUGACGGUAAUGGGUAAAGAAGCACCGGCUAACUACGUG